ACGAAGGGGGCUAGCGUUGUUCGGAUUUACUGGGCGUAAAGCGCGUGUAGGCGGGCUGGAAAGUUGGGGGUGAAAUCCCGAGGCUCAACCUCGGAACUGCCUCCAAAACUUCCAGCCUGGACUCAAGCAGAGGCAAGUGGAAUUGCGAGUGUAGAGGUGAAAUUCGUAGAUAUUCGCAGGAACACCAGUGGCGAAGGCGACUUGCUGGGCUUGUGGUGACGCUGAGACGCGAAAGCGUGGGGAGCAAACAGGA
RNAcentral lists this ribosomal RNA (253 nucleotides) under uncultured prokaryote. Its description in RNAcentral is "partial 16S ribosomal RNA". It matches the Rfam family "Bacterial small subunit ribosomal RNA", at positions 525 to 777 of the family's 1533-position model. The record is from RNAcentral.